Aedes albopictus (Asian tiger mosquito) is the source of this 1279-nucleotide long non-coding RNA. RefSeq lists it as uncharacterized. NCBI's taxonomy places the organism in Eukaryota, Metazoa, Arthropoda, Insecta, Diptera, Culicidae. The transcript has 4 exons. The record is from RefSeq and is a predicted model, not a curated record.
UUGCGUUUAACUUUGUAAUAGUUAGAAAUGUGCCCUGAAAGACAAGUUAGUUUAAAUAAGUUUGUGUAAACCAACAUUCCGCGCAAUAAAAUGAUCCGUAAAGAACCGAUCAGGCACCCCUGGUAAAGCCUACCCUGAAUUUGCCAUGCACCAUCCCACGCUCUUGCCAACCAACACACAUGACACUAACGCAUACAUGCCGAAUCGAGCACACGACAGCCUGAGCGACGCUGAGAACAGCGAAGAACACAUAAUCCCACGCAGGUACAGAUCGGCUCAAGAGAGUCACGAGGUCAGCGGUGACACCGACGAUGCAUGUCAAGCAUCUCCCUCUCGUGCGAGACACACAAGCGAAAGCGUCGCGACGGCGGAAGUCUCUCUGAGCACGCCACGCCACUACAUGGAAAGCAGCAAGGAGAAUCGCUGUGCAGAGAUGAAACUCCCAGUCAGUCCACGCAGAUCAGUCGUUCGGUACGGUGCGGUUUAGUGCGCUGCUACGGGUGUGUCGCUUUGAACAAAGCUGCAUAAAAAUUGCAACAGUGGAAUCCGGGAAUACAGCCACCCAACGAACCGUGACCAACGGCGUUGCAGCGGACAAAAGCACACGGCCAUCUUGUGGACCGACGAAGCCCUGCAGCCUUGCAUUCAGCUCUAUAGGCCGGAAUCAAUCGCCAUCUUGUUGAGGGCUAUUUGCGAGGAAGACACGCUUGCCCGUGGUACAGCUGGCAUCCCGACUACCACGCGCUCGAACCAAUCGGACUACGCGUAGGACGAGAAUUCUGGCUUUCUGGCGGCGAUUGCUAAAACGGCGAAGAAGAGGAAGAGCCUUCUCAUAAGAAGGCUCUUUUUUCCUGUUUCUAGUUUGGCCCAAGGCGAUUACGGGACGAACGACGCCGCGGGGGAGCCGUGAUCUGGCGCGGACUGGGAUCGCAGCGAGAGGCAAGGUCACCCAAGGACGGGUGCAGCGAUACAGCCGGUGGAUGGCUGACCGUGCGUGAUUGCUCCGGCAUCGGGAGAAUGCCGGUUGGCGACGCAACGUACCGACGGGAUCUGUGAGUAGGAGAUAAAGAGAAUCUUAGUUGAUAAGGAGAUAAAGGAGUUAGGAAUGGGACUGGUAGGAUAGAGGAGAGUAGGCAGUGGCACAAUGGGGUGUGAUUAGUAAUAAAGCGUUGGCAACAUGUACUUUCUUGUAGUUGGUGCUUCAUUUUCAGUGUUUGUGCUCGAAUAACCACUCUGGGUAACAGCUUUGCGUUACUGGUCGGGGAAUUCACAACAGCAG